GACGAACGCUGGCGGCGUGCUUAACACAUGCAAGUCACGGGGGGCCCGCAAGGGUCAACCGGCGAACGGGUGCGUAACACGUGAGCGACCUGCCCAGUUGCGGGGGGAUAGCCGGCCCAACGGCCGGGUAAUACCGCAUACGUUCCUCUGGGGGCAUCCUUGGGGGAAGAAACCUACGGGGCGAUUGGAGGGGCUCGCGGCCUAUCAGCUAGUUGGCGAGGUAACGGCUCACCAAGGCGAUGACGGGUAGCUGGUCUGAGAGGAUGGCCAGCCACAUUGGGACUGAGAGACGGCCCAGACUCCUACGGGAGGCAGCAGUGGGGAAUCUUGCGCAAUGGCCGAAAGGCUGACGCAGCGACGCCGCGUGGAGGAUGACGCCCUUCGGGGUGUAAACUCCU
Molecule: ribosomal RNA, 398 nt
Filed under: uncultured bacterium
Lineage: Bacteria
Description: bacterial SSU rRNA
Rfam family: Bacterial small subunit ribosomal RNA
Source: RNAcentral